ACUGGGAUUAGAUACCCCACUAUGCUCAGCCAUAAACCCAGACGUCCAACUACAAUUAGAUGUCCGCCCGGGUACUACGAGCAUUAGCUUGAAACCCAAAGGACCUGACGGUGCCUCAGACCCCCCUAGAGGAGCCUGUUCUAGAACCGAUAACCCCCGUUAAACCUCACCACUUCUAGCCACCCCAGCCUAUAUACCGCCGUCGUCAGCUUACCCUGUGAAGGCAAUAAAAGUAAGCAAAAUGGGCACAACCCAGAACGUCAGGUCGAGGUGUAGCGUACGAAGCGGGAAGAAAUGGGCUACAUUUUCUAUUAUAGAACACUACGGACAUGCAACAUGAAAUAGUGCUUGAAGGAGGAUUUAGUAGUAAAGAGGAAGCAGCGUGUCCUUUUGAACCCGGCUCUGAGGCGCGUACACACCGCCCGUCACCCUCU
Molecule: ribosomal RNA, 434 nt
Filed under: Pimephales promelas (fathead minnow)
Lineage: Eukaryota; Metazoa; Chordata; Actinopteri; Cypriniformes; Leuciscidae
Description: partial 12S ribosomal RNA
Rfam family: Bacterial small subunit ribosomal RNA
Source: RNAcentral